Molecule: small RNA, 127 nt
Filed under: Marmota monax (woodchuck)
Lineage: Eukaryota; Metazoa; Chordata; Mammalia; Rodentia; Sciuridae
Source: RNAcentral
GCUGGGUGCGGUGGUGCACACCUGCGAUCCCAGAAGCUCAGGAGGCUGAGACAGGAGGAUCCUGAGUUCAAAGCCAUCAUCAGCAACUUAGCAAGGCCCUAAGCAAUUCAUCAAGACCCUGUCUCUA